UACGUAGGUGGCGAGCGUUGUCCGGAAUUAUUGGGCGUAAAGGAUGCGUAGGUGGAUAUUUAAGUGGGAUGUGAAAUCCCCGGGCUCAACCCGGGAACUGCAUUCCAUACUGGAUAUCUAGAGUGCAGGAGAGGAAAGCGGAAUUCCUAGUGUAGCGGUGAAAUGCGUAGAUAUUAGGAGGAACACCAGUGGCGAAGGCGGCUUUCUGGACUGUAACUGACACUGAGGCAUGAAAGCGUGGGUAGCAAACAGG
This 253-nucleotide ribosomal RNA is filed under the name uncultured bacterium. RNAcentral describes it as "partial 16S ribosomal RNA". It matches the Rfam family "Bacterial small subunit ribosomal RNA", at positions 524 to 776 of the family's 1533-position model. The record is from RNAcentral.